RNAcentral lists this ribosomal RNA (443 nucleotides) under uncultured bacterium. RNAcentral describes it as "partial 16S ribosomal RNA". It matches the Rfam family "Bacterial small subunit ribosomal RNA", at positions 338 to 795 of the family's 1533-position model. The record is from RNAcentral.
CCUACGGGUGGCAGCAGUGGGGAAUAUUGGGCAAUGGGCGCAAGCCUGACCCAGCAACGCCGCGUGAAGGAAGAAGGCUUUCGGGUUGUAAACUUCUUUUCUCAGGGACGAAGCAAGUGACGGUACCUGAGGAAUAAGCCACGGCUAACUACGUGCCAGCAGCCGCGGUAAUACGUAGGUGGCAAGCGUUAUCCGGAUUUACUGGGUGUAAGGGGCGUGUAGGCGGGGACGUAAGUCAGAUGUGAAAACCCCGGGCUCAACCUGUGGCCUGCAGUUGAAACUUGGUUUCUUGAGUACUGGAGAGGCAGACGGAAGUCCUGGUGGAGCGGUGAAAUGCGUAGAUAUUAGGAGGAACACCAGUGGCGAAGGCGGUCUGCUGGACAGCAACUGACGCUGAGGCGCGAAAGCGUGGGGAGCAAACAGGAUUAGAUACCCUUGUAGUC